GACGAACGCUGGCGGCGUGCUUAACACAUGCAAGUCGAACGGAAAGGCCCUGCUUUUGUGGGGUGCUCGAGUGGCGAACGGGUGAGUAACACGUGAGUAACCUGCCCUUGACUUUGGGAUAACUUCAGGAAACUGGGGCUAAUACCGGCUAGGAGCUCCUGCUGCAUGGUGGGGGUUGGAAAGUUUCGGCGGUUGGGGAUGGACGCGCGGCUUAUCAGCUUGUUGGUGGGGUAGUGGCUUACCAAGGCAUUGGCGGGUAGCCGGCCUGAGAGGGUGACCGGCCACAUUGGGACUGAGAUACGGCCCAGACUCCUACGGGAGGCAGAAGUGGGGAAUAUUGCACAAUGGGCGGAAGCCUGAUGCAGCAACGCCGCGUGCGGGAUGACGGCCUUCGGGGUGUAAACCGCUUUCGCCUGUGACGAAGCGUGAGUGACGGUAAUGGGUAAAGAAGCACCGGCUAACUACGUG
This 468-nucleotide ribosomal RNA is filed under the name uncultured bacterium. RNAcentral describes it as "partial 16S ribosomal RNA". It matches the Rfam family "Bacterial small subunit ribosomal RNA", at positions 28 to 507 of the family's 1533-position model. The record is from RNAcentral.